This 429-nucleotide ribosomal RNA is filed under the name uncultured Alphaproteobacteria bacterium. Its description in RNAcentral is "bacterial SSU rRNA". It matches the Rfam family "Bacterial small subunit ribosomal RNA", at positions 29 to 505 of the family's 1533-position model. Lineage: Bacteria; Pseudomonadati; Pseudomonadota; Alphaproteobacteria. The record is from RNAcentral.
AACGAACGCUGGCGGCAGGCCUAACACAUGCAAGUCGAACGGUCCUUCGGGACAGUGGCGCACGGGUGAGGAACACGUGGGAACGUACCCUGUAGUACGGAAUAGCCUCGGGAAACUGGGAUUAAUACCGUAUACGCUCUUCGGAGGAAAGAUUUAUCGCUAUAGGAUCGGCCCGCGUUGCAUUAGCUUGUUGGUGGGGUAAUGGCCUACCAAGGCUACGAUGCAUAGCUGGUCUGAGAGGAUGAUCAGCCACACUGGAACUGAGACACGGUCCAGACUCCUACGGGAGGCAGCAGUGAGGAAUAUUGGACAAUGGGCGAAAGCCUGAUCCAGCCAUGCCGCGUGAGUGAUGAAGGCCUUAGGGUUGUAAAGCUCUUUCAUUGGUGAAGAUAAUGACGGUAACCAAAGAAGAAGCCCCGGCUAACUUCG